GACGAACGCUGGCGGCGUGCUUAACACAUGCAAGUCGAACGGAAAGGCCCUGCUUUUGUGGGUUGCUCGAGUGGCGAACGGGUGAGUAACACGUGAGUAACCUGCCCUUGACUUUUGGAUAACUUCAGGAAACUGGGGCUAAUACCGGAUAGGAGCUCCUGCUGCAUGGUGGGGGUUGGAAAGUUUCGGCGGUUGGGGCUGGACUCGCGGCUUAUCAGCUUGUUGGUGGGGUAGUGGCUUACCAAGGCUUUGACGGGUAGCCGGCCUGAGAGGGUGACCGGCCACAUUGGGACUGAGAGACGGCCCAGACUCCUACGGGAGGCAGCAGUGGGGAAUAUUGCACAAUGGGCGGAAGCCUGAUGCAGCAACGCCGCGUGCGGGAUGACGGCCUUCGGGUUGUAAACCGCUUUCGCCUGUGACGAAGCGUGAGUGACGGUAAUGGGUAAAGAAGCACCGGCUAACUACGUG
Molecule: ribosomal RNA, 468 nt
Filed under: uncultured bacterium
Lineage: Bacteria
Description: partial 16S ribosomal RNA
Rfam family: Bacterial small subunit ribosomal RNA
Source: RNAcentral